AUUAAACGCUGGCGGCAUGCCUUACACAUGCAAGUCGAACGGCAGCACGGGGGCAACCCUGGUGGCGAGUGGCGGACGGGUGAGUAAAGCAUCGGAACGUAUCCUGGAGUGGGGGGAUAACGUAGCGAAAGUUACGCUAAUACCGCAUAUUCUGUGAGCAGGAAAGCAGGGGAUCGCAAGACCUUGCGCUCUGGGAGCGGCCGAUGUCGGAUUAGCUAGUUGGUGGGGUAAAGGCCUACCAAGGCGACGAUCCGUAGCGGGUCUGAGAGGAUGAUCCGCCACACUGGGACUGAGACACGGCCCAGACUCCUACGGGAGGCAGCAGUGGGGAAUUUUGGACAAUGGGCGCAAGCCUGAUCCAGCCAUGCCGCGUGAGUGAAGAAGGCCUCGG
Molecule: ribosomal RNA, 391 nt
Filed under: uncultured bacterium
Lineage: Bacteria
Description: bacterial SSU rRNA
Rfam family: Bacterial small subunit ribosomal RNA
Source: RNAcentral